Molecule: long non-coding RNA, 273 nt
Organism: Ornithodoros turicata
Lineage: Eukaryota; Metazoa; Arthropoda; Arachnida; Ixodida; Argasidae
Exons: 3
Source: RefSeq, a predicted model, not a curated record
AAAACACAAUGGACAAUAUGUACUACCUGAAACAUGUCUUCAUCCCGUACAGUGUCGUGCUCAGACUCUGAGUCCAGCAGCUCAAGAUGGGCGUGACCAGAACUCUUUCCAAUGCCACAUUCAUGGUCGGACGCUCUCAGUACAGCGUGAGCUGCAAACUGGACGCACAGCAUUCAGACCACUGCUGUGUAUUAUCUGGAGUGCUGACGUAAUAUGUCGUAAACCCUCCCUUCCUUGGACACCUCCCUUACCUUGGACAAGUUGUCGCUGCAC